RNAcentral lists this ribosomal RNA (406 nucleotides) under uncultured bacterium. Its description in RNAcentral is "partial 16S ribosomal RNA". It matches the Rfam family "Bacterial small subunit ribosomal RNA", at positions 30 to 526 of the family's 1533-position model. The record is from RNAcentral.
AUUGAACGCUGGCGGCAGGCCUAACACCUGCACGUCGAGCGAGCGGCGGACGGGUGAGUAAUGUCUGGGAACCUGCCUGAUGGAGGGGGAUAACUACUGGAAACGGUAGCUAAUACCCCAUACCAUCAGAUGUGCCCAGAUGGGAUUAGCUAGUAGGUGGGGUAACGGCUCACCUAGGCGACGAUCCCUAGCUGGUCUGAGAGGAUGACCAGCCACACUGGAACUGAGAGACGGUCCAGACUCCUACGGGAGGCAGCAGUGGGGAAUAGUGCACAAUGUGCGAAAGCCUGAUGCAGCCAUGCCGCGUGUGGGAAGAAGGCCUUCGGGUUGUAAAGCACUUUCAGCGGGGAGGCGUUACCCGCAGAAGAAGCACCGGCUAACUCCGUGCCAGCAGCCGCGGUAAUAC